CAAAAACAUCUUUUCUUGUUAGUUUUUGAAGUAUGGCCUGCCCACUGACUUUUAGUUGAAGGGCCGCGGUAUUUUGACCGUGCAAAGGUAGCAUAAUCAUUAGUUCUUUAAUUGUGAUCUGGUAUGAAUGGCUUGACGAGACACAAACUGUCUUAGAAGUAUUGUUUAUUGAAUUUAGUUUUUAAGUUAAAAUUCUUAGAUGUUUUUAUGGGACGAGAAGACCCUAUAGAGUUUUACAUUUAUUUUGUUUAUAUUGUUGUUUGUUUUGGUUAUAAGCUUGGUUUAAUGUUUUGUUGGGGUGAUGGGAGGAAUACUACUUAACUCCUCUUUGUUUUUAUAUAUUUAUUUAUAUUUGUUUGAUCCAUUUAUUUUGAUUAUAAGAUUAAAUUACCUU
Molecule: ribosomal RNA, 394 nt
Filed under: Labiotermes emersoni
Lineage: Eukaryota; Metazoa; Arthropoda; Insecta; Blattodea; Termitidae
Description: partial 16S ribosomal RNA
Source: RNAcentral